GCUUCGUCAUUCAAACCAAGCAGUUGAAUUACACCAUAACAACACGUGGCUUGCAAAGAAGCCUCAUCGACAGCUUACUGCACUUCGAACAGAGCGGUCCGUGGACGGAAGCUGUCCCGGCUAGCGGACAACCUCACCUUAAAGUGAUUCAUACGUAUAACAAGUUCAUGGACAGAGUAGGGGUGGAAUUGGCCAACAACGAAGCGUU
Molecule: long non-coding RNA, 208 nt
Organism: Hyalella azteca
Lineage: Eukaryota; Metazoa; Arthropoda; Malacostraca; Amphipoda; Hyalellidae
Exons: 3
Source: RefSeq, a predicted model, not a curated record